RNAcentral lists this ribosomal RNA (253 nucleotides) under uncultured bacterium. RNAcentral describes it as "partial 16S ribosomal RNA". It matches the Rfam family "Bacterial small subunit ribosomal RNA", at positions 524 to 776 of the family's 1533-position model. The record is from RNAcentral.
UACGUAGGGGGCAAGCGUUGUCCGGAAUUAUUGGGCGUAAAGAGCUCGUAGGCGGUUUGUCGCGUCGAAUGUGAAAACCCGGGGCUCAACCCCGGGCCUGCAUUCGAUACGGGCAGACUAGAGUUCGGUAGGGGAGUCUGGAAUUCCUGGUGUAGCGGUGAAGUGCGCAGAUAUCAGGAGGAACACCGGUGGCGAAGGCGGGACUCUGGGCCGAUACUGACGCUGAGGAGCGAAAGCGUGGGGAGCAAACAGG